RNAcentral lists this microRNA precursor (174 nucleotides) under Medicago truncatula (barrel medic). Its description in RNAcentral is "MIR2619 microRNA precursor family". It matches the Rfam family "MIR2619 microRNA precursor family". The record is from Rfam by way of RNAcentral. Lineage: Eukaryota; Viridiplantae; Streptophyta; Magnoliopsida; Fabales; Fabaceae.
AAACAACCCCCAAUGUUUUGAUUCUUUGCCAGUUUUGGACCCUCAAGGUAAAAAAUAAAAAAUAAAAAAAUUGACACGUGGCACCUCACUUAGGGUGCCACGUCAUCGUUGACCGAGUCAACAAUGGACUGGGGGUCCAAAACUGCCAAAGAAUCAAAACAUAGGGGGCUGUUU